UACGUAGGUGGCAAGCGUUGUCCGGAUUUAUUGGGCGUAAAGCGAGUGCAGGCGGUUCGAUAAGUCUGAUGUGAAAGCCUUCGGCUCAACCGGAGAAUUGCAUCAGAAACUGUCGAGCUUGAGUACAGAAGAGGAGAGUGGAACUCCAUGUGUAGCGGUGAAAUGCGUAGAUAUAUGGAAGAACACCGGUGGCGAAGGCGGCUCUCUGGUCUGUUACUGACGCUGAGGCUCGAAAGCAUGGGUAGCGAACAGGAUUAGAAACCCCAGUAGUCC
This 273-nucleotide ribosomal RNA is filed under the name uncultured Lactobacillus sp. RNAcentral describes it as "partial 16S ribosomal RNA". It matches the Rfam family "Bacterial small subunit ribosomal RNA", at positions 524 to 796 of the family's 1533-position model. Lineage: Bacteria; Bacillati; Bacillota; Bacilli; Lactobacillales; Lactobacillaceae. The record is from RNAcentral.